RNAcentral lists this ribosomal RNA (230 nucleotides) under uncultured bacterium. Its description in RNAcentral is "partial 16S ribosomal RNA". It matches the Rfam family "Bacterial small subunit ribosomal RNA", at positions 111 to 334 of the family's 1533-position model. The record is from RNAcentral.
UAACACGUGGGUAACCUGCCCCGAUGACUGGGACAACCCGAGGAAACUCGGGCUAAUACCAGAUGUGCUCUUGACCCACCAGGGUCAUUGAGGAAAGGUAGCUUCGGCUUCCGCAUCGGGAUGGGCCCGCGGCCCAUUAGCUUGUUGGUGGGGUAAUGGCCUACCAAGGCGACGAUGGGUAGCUGGUCUGAGAGGACGAUCAGCCACACUGGGACUGAGACACGGCCCAG